ACACUUUGUCACCAACUGCUGCCGACCUCGCCACCACUGCUUUGUCUCUGAGGUCAGAGUGCUCCUGGUGCCAUGAACGGAGACGACGCCUUUGCAAAGAGACCCAGGGAUGAUGCUAAAGCAUCAGAGAAGAGAAGCAAGGCCUUCGAUGAUAUUGCCAAAUACUUCUCUAAGGAAGAGUGGGAAAAGAUGAAAUUCUCGGAGAAAAUCAGCUGUGUGCAUAUGAAGAGAAAGUAUGAGGCCAUGACUAAACUAGGUUUCAACGUCACCCUCUCACUUUUCAUGCGUAAUAAACGGGCCACAGACUCUCAGAGGAAUGAUUCUGAUAAUGACCGUAACCGUGGGAAUGAGGUUGAACGUCCUCAGAUGACUUUUGGCAGGCUCCAGAGAAUCAUCCCGAAGAUCAUGCCCGAGAAGCCAGCAGAGGAAGGAAGUGAUUCGAAGGGAGUGCCAGAAGCAUCUGGCCCACAGAACGAUGGGAAAAAGCUGUGCCCGCCGGGAAAAGCAAGUAGCUCUGAGAAGAUUCACGAGAGAUCUGGACCCAAAAGGGGGAAACAUGCCUGGACCCACAGACUGCGUGAGAGAAAGCAGCUGGUGAUUUAUGAAGAGAUCAGCGACCCUGAGGAAGAUGACAAGUAACUCCAUAAGUGAACCUUCGGCUCACCCUCCACAUCCCUGCAGAUGUGCUAUUCUGUUAUGCCUCAGGGAUACGACACAUGCCCAUGAUGAGAAGCAGAACGUGGUGACCUUUCACGAACGUGGGCAUGGCUGCGGACCCCUCGUCAUCAGGUGUAUAGCAAGUGAAAGCAAGUGUUCACAACAGUGAAAAGUUGAGCGUCAUUUUUCUUAGUGUGCCAAGAGUUCGAUGUUGGCGUUUCCGUUGUAUUUUCUUGCAGUGUGCCAUUCUGUUAGACAUUAGCAUUUUCGUUGAUGAGCAAGACAUGCUUAAUGCAUAUUUCGGCUUGUGUAUCCAUGCACCUACCUCAGAAAACAAGUAUUGUCAGGUAUUCUCUCCAUAGAACAGCACUACCCUCCUCUCUCCCCAGAUGUGACUACUGAGGGGAGGUCUGAGUGUUUAAUUUCCGAUUUUUUCCUCUGCAUUUACACACACACCACACACGCACACACACACACCAAGUACCAGUAUAAGCAUCUCCCAUCUGCUUUUCUCCACUGCCAUGUGUCCUGGUCAAGCCCCCCUCACUCUGUUUCCUGUUCAGCAUGUACUCCCCUCAUCCGAUUCCCCUCUAUCAGUCACUGACAGUUAAUAAACCUUUGCAAACGUU
RNA transcript from Homo sapiens (human), 1286 nucleotides. It is a transcript of the gene named SSX family member 6, pseudogene, with no coding region annotated. The record is from RefSeq and is marked reviewed. The transcript is spliced from 8 exons. Lineage: Eukaryota; Metazoa; Chordata; Mammalia; Primates; Hominidae.